UACGGGGGGGGCAAGCGUUGUUCGGAAUUACUGGGCGUAAAGGGCUCGUAGGUGGCUAACUAAGUCGGACGUGAAAUCCCUCGGCUUAACCGGGGAACUGCGUCCGAUACUGGAUGGCUUGAGUUUGGGAGAGGGAUGCGGAAUUCCAGGUAUAGCGGUGAAAUGCGUAGAUAUCUGGAGGAACACCGGUGGCGAAGGCGGCAUCCUGGACCAACACUGACGCUCAUGCACGAAAGCGUGGGGAGCAAACAGG
This 253-nucleotide ribosomal RNA is filed under the name uncultured bacterium. RNAcentral's name for it is "partial 16S ribosomal RNA". It matches the Rfam family "Bacterial small subunit ribosomal RNA", at positions 524 to 776 of the family's 1533-position model. The record is from RNAcentral.